This 88-nucleotide non-coding RNA is filed under the name Chlorobium phaeobacteroides BS1. Its description in RNAcentral is "SAM-Chlorobi RNA". It matches the Rfam family "SAM-Chlorobi RNA". The record is from RNAcentral. Lineage: Bacteria; Pseudomonadati; Chlorobiota; Chlorobiia; Chlorobiales; Chlorobiaceae.
CGGCAUCCCCAUUACCUAUGGACACGGUGCCGAAAGCUUCCGGCCGAUCGGUUCAGGAAUGCUUGUAUUCAGGGUUUUCCGUGUCCAC